GCAAGUAAAAGUCGUAACAAGGUUUCCGUAGGUGAACCUGCGGAAGGAUCAUUAUUGUAUAACCGAGGUGCGAGGGCUGUCGCUGACCCCAAAGGUCGUGCACGCCCGAGUGCCCUCACACACAUCCAUCUCACCCCUAUGUGCACCACCGCGUGGGUCCCCCUUUGGCUUGUUCGGAGGGGGGCUUACGUUUUCACACAAACUUUGUAUGCAGUGUAGAAUGUAUUUUUUGUUUUUGCGAUCACGCAAUCAAUACAACUUUCAACAACGGAUCUCUUGGCUCUC
RNAcentral lists this unclassified non-coding RNA (285 nucleotides) under plant metagenome. RNAcentral's name for it is "partial contains small subunit ribosomal RNA, internal transcribed spacer 1, and 5.8S ribosomal RNA". The stretch from base 1 to 54 matches the Rfam family "Eukaryotic small subunit ribosomal RNA", at positions 1778 to 1831 of the family's 1831-position model. The record is from RNAcentral.